UACGUAGGGUGCAAGCGUUGUCCGGAAUUAUUGGGCGUAAAGAGCGUGUAGGCGGCCAGAUAGGUCAGCUGUGAAAACUCGGGGCUCAACCCUGAGACGUCGGUUGAAACCAUCUGGCUAGAGUCCGGAAGAGGAGUGUGGAAUUCCCGGUGUAGCGGUGAAAUGCGCAGAUAUCGGGAAGAACACCCGUGGCGAAGGCGGCACUCUGGGACGGUACUGACGCUGAGACGCGAAAGCGUGGGGAGCGAACAGG
Molecule: ribosomal RNA, 253 nt
Filed under: uncultured bacterium
Lineage: Bacteria
Description: partial 16S ribosomal RNA
Rfam family: Bacterial small subunit ribosomal RNA
Source: RNAcentral